CCUCAUGGUUGUGAAAUUAAGCCCCAAAUUAGUCUCCAUGCUGGCAUGAAGCCUACUGAGGGGGGAAAAAAAGGAGGAGGAAGGAUGGAAAGAAGAAAGAAAAGAAAGAAAAAAAUCUUUUCAGAUGUGAUCAAUUAAGGAUCUUGUGAUGGAGAGAUUAUUUUCCUGGGUUAUCUCGGUUGUUCCUAAAGACAAACACUUGUAUUUUUAUCAAAGGAAAGAAGAGGGAAAUUUGACAUGCCCACAUAGGGGAAGGCGAAAAGAAGAUGGAACAGAAAGAAUAUUCUGGUCUUGAAGACUGGAGUGAUGCAGCCCAAAGCCAAGAAAUGCUGGCGGCCACCAGAAGCCUGAAGAGACAAGAAAUGGUUCUACCCUACAGCCUCUGGAGGGAGUGUGCCCCUGCUUCCAUCUCGAUUUUGGCUCAUUAGUGCUAAUUUUGGGUUUCUAGCCUCCAGAACAAUGAGAGUAUACAUUUCUGUGGUCUUAAACCAUGAAGUUCAAGGUGAUUUGUUAUAGAAACCACCAGAAACUAUGUAUAUAACUUCUAAGCAAGUUAUACUUAGGUAUUAAAGAUACACUUAGUGGACACCUUGCUGUCUCCUGUAGCCCUCAUCUUAAACAACAAUACAAGUGCAGCAUUCCUCCAACUUUACCAUGGACAGAAAACACCUGUAUCCUUUUGAAAUGCAGAUUCUAACUUGAGCCUGGGCACUAUGAGAAGAUGCAGCCCCUCUCAGCCUGGAUCUCAGACAAAUAGAGCUCUCCCAACCUCUCCUCACCCAUCCCCACUCUUCACAACCUCUGAAGGACAUGAGGCCCAAUCAAGGAAUAAACUCUUGUUGCUUAAACCCACUGA
Felis catus (domestic cat) is the source of this 856-nucleotide long non-coding RNA. RefSeq lists it as uncharacterized. NCBI's taxonomy places the organism in Eukaryota, Metazoa, Chordata, Mammalia, Carnivora, Felidae. The transcript has 3 exons. The record is from RefSeq and is a predicted model, not a curated record.